CGGUGCGGCAGCUAUAAUGCAGUCGAGCGGACAGAAGGGAGCUUGCUCCCGGAUGUUAGCGGCGGACGGGAGAGUAACACGUGGGUAACCUGCCUGUAAGACUGGGAUAACUCCGGGAAACCGGAGCUAAUACCGGAUAGUUCCUUGAACCGCAUGGUUCAAGGAUGAAAGACGGUUUCGGCUGUCACUUACAGAUGGACCCGCGGCGCAUUAGCUAGUUGGUGGGGUAAUGGCUCACCAAGGCGACGAUGCGUAGCCGACCUGAGAGGGUGAUCGGCCACACUGGGACUGAGACACGGCCCAGCUCCUACGGGAGGCAGCAGUAGGGAAUCUUCCGCAAUGGACGGAAAGUCUGACGGAGCAACGCCGCGUGAGUGAUGAAGGUUUUCGGAUCGUAAAGCUCUGUUGUUAGGGAAGAACAAGUGCGAGAGUAACUGCUCGCACCUUGACGGUACCUAACCAGAAAGCCACGGCUAACUACGUGCCAGCAGCCGCGGUAAUACGUAGGUGGCAAGCGUUGUCCGGAAUUAUUGGGCGUAAAGGGCUCGCAGGCGGUUUCUUAAGUCUGAUGUGAAAGCCCCCGGCUCAACCGGGGAGGGUCAUUGGAAACUGGGAAACUUGAGUGCAGAAGAGGAGAGUGGAAUUCCACGUGUAGCGGUGAAAUGCGUAGAGAUGUGGAGGAACACCAGUGGCGAAGGCGACUCUCUGGUCUGUAACUGACGCUGAGGAGCGAAAGCGUGGGGAGCGAACAGGAUUAGAUACCCUGGUAGUCCACGCCGUAAACGAUGAGUGCUAAGUGUUAGGGGGUUUCCGCCCCUUAGUGCUGCAGCUAACGCAUUAAGCACUCCGCCUGGGGAGUACGGUCGCAAGACUGAAACUCAAAGGAAUUGACGGGGGCCCGCACAAGCGGUGGAGCAUGUGGUUUAAUUCGAAGCAACGCGAAGAACCUUACCAGGUCUUGACAUCCUCUGACAACCCUAGAGAUAGGGCUUUCCCUUACGGGGACAGAGUGACAGGUGGUGCAUGUUGUCGUCAGCUCGUGUCGUGAGAUGUUGGGUUAAGUCCCGCAACGAGCGCAACCCUUGAUCUUAGUUGCCAGCAUUUAGUUGGGCACUCUAAGGUGACUGCCGGUGACAAACCGGAGGAAGGUGGGGAUGACGUCAAAUCAUCAUGCCCCUUAUGACCUGGGCUACACACGUGCUACAAUGGACAGAACAAAGGGCUGCAAGACCGCAAGGUUUAGCCAAUCCCAUAAAUCUGUUCUCAGUUCGGAUCGCAGUCUGCAACUCGACUGCGUGAAGCUGGAAUCGCUAGUAAUCGCGGAUCAGCAUGCCGCGGUGAAUACGUUCCCGGGCCUUGUACACACCGCCCGUCACACCACGAGAGUUUGCAACACCCGAAGUCGGUGAGGUAACCUUUAUGGAGCCAGCCGCCGAAGGUGGGGCAGAUGAUUGGGGUGAAGUCGUAACAAGUUAAACCGUAA
RNAcentral lists this ribosomal RNA (1483 nucleotides) under Bacillus safensis. Its description in RNAcentral is "bacterial SSU rRNA". It matches the Rfam family "Bacterial small subunit ribosomal RNA". Lineage: Bacteria; Bacillati; Bacillota; Bacilli; Caryophanales; Bacillaceae. The record is from RNAcentral.